GACGAACGCUGGCGGCGUGCCUAAUACAUGCAAGUCGAACGCUUCUUUCCUCCCGAGUGCUUGCCCUCCAUUGGAAAGAGGAGUGGCGGACGGGUGAGUAACACGUGGGUAACCUACCCAUCAGAGGGGGAUAACACUUGGAAACAGGUGCUAAUACCGCAUAACAGUUUAUGCCGCAUGGCAUAAGAGUGAAAGGCGCUUUCGGGUGUCGCUGAUGGAUGGACCCGCGGUGCAUUAGCUAGUUGGUGAGGUAACGGCUCACCAAGGCCACGAUGCAUAGCCGACCUGAGAGGGUGAUCGGCCACACUGGGACUGAGACACGGCCCAGACUCCUACGGGAGGCAGCAGUAGGGAAUCUUCGGCAAUGGACGAAAGUCUGACCGAGCAACGCCGCGUGAGUGAAGAAGGUUUUCGGAUCGUAAAACUCUGUUGUUAGAGAAGAACAAGGACGUUAGUAACUGAACGUCCCCUGACGGUAUCUAACCAGAAAGCCACGGCUAACUACGU
Molecule: ribosomal RNA, 507 nt
Filed under: uncultured bacterium
Lineage: Bacteria
Description: partial 16S ribosomal RNA
Rfam family: Bacterial small subunit ribosomal RNA
Source: RNAcentral